Molecule: transfer-messenger RNA, 392 nt
Filed under: bovine gut metagenome
Rfam family: transfer-messenger RNA
About the family: Bacterial tmRNA, also known as 10Sa RNA or SsrA, is named for its dual tRNA and mRNA-like properties.
Source: RNAcentral
GGGGAUGUACUGGUUUUGACGUAGUGAUUGGUAGAUCCGGAUUGCGAGUCCGAGAGCUGUUCUCGGUUAUCAACGGGCAAACUAAAUUAAAUGCUACAGAUAACGUAGUUUAUGCUAACUUUGGUCGCGAAAGCAGACUUGCUGCCUAAUUGCAGCAAUUAGCCCUCAUAGUCGACCAGCUUGCCGUCGAUUAUGAUGAAAUCAUGCAAGAUGCAGCACGCAAAUGAUGGUAUGCGUGUCAAGAUUACCAUUGGAGGUUAGGUUUCCGCAAAAAACCUUUGGCUCAUUUCAGGUUGGUUAAUUUCCGUAAUGAGCCGAGAUAAAAAUUAACUACACUCGUAGAUGUCAGUUUUUAUCCGCUAUGGACGCGGGUUCGACUCCCGCCAUCUCCA